Molecule: long non-coding RNA, 1321 nt
Filed under: Macaca mulatta (Rhesus monkey)
Lineage: Eukaryota; Metazoa; Chordata; Mammalia; Primates; Cercopithecidae
Description: lncRNA (ENSMMUG00000061961.1)
Source: RNAcentral
UUUCAGUUGGAAAUAAAAUGUCUAUUUCUUACCUUCUUCACUUUGUGCUUUGAAAUUUACCACUGUAUUAGCAAAGGUGAAAACAGUAUUUUGGCUUCAAUUAAGCAGCUCAAACAUUUAUUUUCACAAGUAAACUGUGUUGAUAUCAGUAAGUAUGUCCUAAUUUGGAGCCUACAACAACCGAUUUGAAAAAUGUUCACAAUUUUUUUUUUUUUUUUUUUUUUUUUUGCUAUUUCUUCAGGCCCAACAAAUAAAAAGUAUAAAAAAAAAAUUUUUUUUUGACUACAGAUCUGAAAGUCUAGACGCCACUAUAGCUGAAAAAUGUAAAAAAAAAAAAAAAAAAAAAAAAAAAAAAAAAAAAAAAAAAAAAGAUUCUAACUGUGCUGACCAAUACAGUAGCUUCUAGCCACAUAUGUUUAUAUAAAUUUUCAUCUAAAUUAAUCAAAAUGAAGAAUUCAGUUCGAAGUCACACUAGUCACAUUUCAAGUGCUCAGCAGCCAUACAAAAGAACUUUACCACAUCACUGUUGUGUACCAUCCGAGAACACCACAAAACGCAAAUGCUUUAUCACCUUGUAAUUCUUGCUUCCAUACAAAAGGUUCAAAUUUUGGUUUAAAAUAUGAAGAGUUAAGUAAACAUGGUUUCAUAUUUUAUCUUACAAACAGGGUUAUAGUCUUGAACCCCUAUGUCAUUUUUGGAGAUCAAGACAGUAACUGGCCCACUUAACAAAGACGUUAAUACUUUGUGCAUUCCAUAACCUCUACUUACAUAGUUACACAUUCUGGUAACCAUAGUUCCAUUUAGGUAAACAUGAAGAUGAACACUGGCACAUGUGCCAAAAACCUGAAGGAGAGACAUUAGGGAAUCUAAUAUUGAAUGAGGCUUUCCAUAUAAUUCAACAAAAUGGAUUACAGCUGAUAUUUCCAGAGAUACUAUGGAAUACAGUGCUCAAAUUUCUGUGAAUUAUUCUCGUGAUAAGUGUGGUGACCAACCCAUCUCAGUUUUCCUAGGUGUUUCCAGGCUUAUAGGUCCGGGGCAACUACCAAUCGUUAUUCAAAGGGGAAAGCACCCUGUUCGAAAUCAAGUAAGAAAAAUGGUUUAUAUUCCCGGUCUGCCAUCUCUAUUCUAAGCUUUAUCUUUAUUUAGCUCCCAGUUAAAGGGGGAAUAGAGCCACACCCACCUCACAAACGCCCCAAGGACUGGGAGACCAGAAAAGUAAAAGCCACUUGCAAACCUAAUUUAGCUCUAAGUCGAUAAAAAAUACUAUCAUAUGCUCACAUUUCUAAUAUUUGCUAAUAUAAUGUAAUCUUUAUUUUGCAAA